UCUUCAGAUGAUGAUCCCAAGCCUUCUGGCGAUCUGUUUAUGCAAGCCUCUGAGGGGGUGGAAGAGAGUGUUUCUUUAUCAGAUUAUGCGAUUGAAAGUUUUCUAGUUUUCCUCGUAGGGCUUGUAGCUCAGUCGGUUAGAGCGCGCGCUUGAUAAGCGUGAGGUCGGAGGUUCAAGUCCUCCCAGGCCCACCAGUUACACUAUGCAGCAAAUUGCUCUGAGUCGAAAAUGUUAAAAUUUAGUGAGAAUAUUCACAAUCCCUUGUUGAAUAUUCCCUUAAAAAGAAUUUAUUGAAGCUGUCAAUUCUUCUAGGAGUAUUCAGAGCCUCCGCGGAAACUCAAAACCCUCCAUASAAACAAAGUCUUUGCGAGACUUUUUCACUCCUCUUCAAUAAGGGGAAAGAACAGAAAAAUAACGAGGGAAAUAAAAGGCCAAGAGUGUCUCUCUCUUUGUAAAAAAACUUGAAAAUUGUAAAAAAGCUUUGUUUUUACAAGUAUGACGUUUUUACAAGAGUAAGAUGAG
Molecule: unclassified non-coding RNA, 522 nt
Filed under: uncultured Bartonella sp.
Lineage: Bacteria; Pseudomonadati; Pseudomonadota; Alphaproteobacteria; Hyphomicrobiales; Bartonellaceae
Description: partial 16S-23S ribosomal RNA intergenic spacer
Rfam family: tRNA (bases 118-191)
Source: RNAcentral